This 253-nucleotide ribosomal RNA is filed under the name uncultured bacterium. RNAcentral describes it as "partial 16S ribosomal RNA". It matches the Rfam family "Bacterial small subunit ribosomal RNA", at positions 524 to 776 of the family's 1533-position model. The record is from RNAcentral.
UACGUAGGGGGCAAGCGUUGUCCGGAAUCAUUGGGCGUAAAGGGCGCGUAGGCGGCACAGCAAGUCGGGAGUGAAAGCCCGGGGCUCAACCCCGGAAUGGCUUUCGAAACUGCUGAGCUAGAGUACAGAAGGGGCAACCGGAAUUCCCAGUGUAGCGGUGAAAUGCGUAGAUAUUGGGAAGAACACCUGAGGCGAAGGCGGGUUGCUGGGCUGAUACUGACGCUGAGGCGCGAAAGCCAGGGGAGCAAACGGG